AUAGUCUUGGUCCUAGGCUUACCGUUGUUUUUUUUCAAAAUUCAAGUUUCAAGUUUCAACGCACCAGUGAAAAUGCCCUUAUCCCUUAAAAAGGCUAUUGGAGCAGGCAUCAGGCACUGAAUUCAAGCCCACAACGCCUUGCUAUGCCACACCCCCACGGCUAUCAGCAGUAAUAAACAUUGGGCCAUAGGUGAAAACCUGACCCAGUUAUGAUAAAUAGGGCUGGUCAAUUUCGUGCCAGCCACCGCGGUUAUACGAAAAGCCCAAAACAACGACAAACGGCGUAAAAUGUGACUAGAGAUCCUUAAUACUAAAAAUACUAAAACCCACAACCUAGUUGUAAAAUACUUAGGUAUGAAGAAAACCAACAAGUAUUUUUAAUAUAAUAUUCUUGACCACACGAAAGCUUAGAAACAAACUAGGAUUAGAUACCCUACUAUGCUAAGCCCUAAACAUUGAUUAGCCACUAUACAACACUCUCCGCCAGAGAACUACGAAGUGAAAAACUUGAAACUCAAAGGACUUGACGGUGUCCCAUAUCAA
This 543-nucleotide ribosomal RNA is filed under the name Lacerta viridis (green lizard). RNAcentral describes it as "partial 12S rRNA". It matches the Rfam family "Bacterial small subunit ribosomal RNA", at positions 9 to 929 of the family's 1533-position model. The record is from RNAcentral. Lineage: Eukaryota; Metazoa; Chordata; Lepidosauria; Squamata; Lacertidae.